AUCUCGGUGGAUUGUGAACAACACACAGGCCUGGCUUUCGGAAAUUCCGGGUAGGCCGCUGGAAGCCACUAAGGCCUACCAGCUGUAGAGGCUUGCCACUGAAGAUUUGAUAAUGAUUUUAGACCAGUAAAAUUCUGAGGUUCAUGCUCCAAACCUUAAUAAGAGAUCUAUCAUGAUUCAGUGGGGCAUAAAAACUUAUUUCAGCAA
This 207-nucleotide long non-coding RNA is filed under the name Elaeis guineensis (African oil palm). RNAcentral describes it as "long non-coding RNA (EGUI_LNC073221)". Lineage: Eukaryota; Viridiplantae; Streptophyta; Magnoliopsida; Arecales; Arecaceae. The record is from RNAcentral.